Non-coding RNA from Macaca mulatta (Rhesus monkey), 2770 nucleotides. Lineage: Eukaryota; Metazoa; Chordata; Mammalia; Primates; Cercopithecidae. The record is from RefSeq and is a predicted model, not a curated record.
UAGUAUUAGAGUCUUUUGUAGAAUUCUAGCUUCGUUCCAUUGCUUUCACAUUGGCCAGCAGUCAGAAACCUAGUUACAAAUAUCCUCCACGCAGUCCCUGGGUGAGGGCUCCUGGGGACAAUGGUUAGGACUCAGGAGAGGGUGGAGUUUUUGCACAGAUGUCUGCCCCACCCAGCUCAGUGUGACACUCCAGGCACAGAGAUAGAAGCCUGAGUCACUGAGGAGGAGCUUCUUAGAACUCAGGAUGAACCGCCUGUCCUGGGGCCUGGAGGCUGAGAGAUUCUGGGGCACCUCAGAGCUGAUCUGGUCAACACCAAUGGAGUAGAAGAGCAGCUGGAGGCCCCUGCCUGCAGCCUGUCGGUACCAGUAUAGGUUGGGGUUUGAUGUUCCCUCCACAGUGCACUCCAGAGAAAGCGGGCUGCCCGCAGGCUGCACCAGGGUCGCUGGCCAUUGAUGAACAGUCUGAGAUCUGACCCCUGUGGGAAAGAUAAAUUGCCAUUUUCAGAGAUGUGCCCUAGCCUGGCUUGCCUUCCCCAGACAGAGGGGCAGCUCAAGCUCUUGCAUGGCACAGGCACCUGGAAUCCAUCAUGGGGAGUAGACCGGGGGAUCCAAGGAUGCAAAGUAUCACUGGGCCAGGGAAGACCAACAGAACAAACUCCUUCCCAGUAGACAGACAGAACCAAGAAUCAUCAGAUCAGCCCUUAAGGCUGAAGCCCCAUAUCUGUUCCAGACAAUCAGAGGAAUAGACUCAGGAGUGUCAAACCAACAGCUCAGACUCUGCAUUCACGGGAUUGCGGUGAGGGUGAGGAUGAGAAAAGAGGCUUGCCGGAGAGGAGGGCACCCACCGAAGAAAGUGCCCAGGAGAAGGGCAAGGGGAGAGCAGAGCAUCAUCCAAGCCAGCCUUUCCUUCAGCUAGUCUGGGGGACAGACGCCUCCUCUUCUGGGCCAGUGACGUGGUCAGGCCGCUCCCUCUGGGAGAUCUGCUGCCAGAGCAGAGGAAUCUACCCCUUGAGCUGGGGAGGAAACGAGGCUAGUCUUGUUUUAAGAGUGUGGUGAAUCACCCCCGGCCUCCCUGGGAACCAGCUGUACUCUGCACUUGGUAUCUUCUUUGCAUUUCUGCUGACAUCCUGGAAAGGGAUGAGAGAGAAGUGGAGAGAGAAGAAAUGGAAAUUCAAAAGUUUUGACGGCAGAGGAAAAUUGUGCUUAUUUCCAGAACGAGAUGAACAAGGUCCUGGGUCCCUACAUGUCAUACUGGCUAGAGACUGAAUUUCCUGGGUUGCUGUGCACACAAGAGGGACCCAAGCAGAGCACAGCACCCUGAAAUUCUUACUGAGCUGCGGACACAGCUUAGAGAAGAGGAGGCCAUGCACGGAAAGAGCCCCACAAUUUUCAUGCAGUCUCAUUGAAUCUUUGGCCACUGCCAUCCUCAUUAUAGCCCCAGACAAUUCAGCUCUUGACAGUGUAUCCAGCGAAACAAAAGUGUAACAGCAGAUCAGCCCCACUUGGAAAGCAGGUGCAUAGCCACGUCUUUCUAUACAAGCUCAGUCCUUCCUGAAGUUGCCCUCUCACCUACUCCCCUACAUCAAAAGUGACUCAUCAAAGUAUUCAGUAGACAAAAUUAGUCUCUAUCCAGGGAGAAUUCGCUACUUGGAAAAUAAGAUGUUCUCUUUCUCAUUACAUACAAAAAAAAAAAGUUGAUAAAAUCACAGAAUUCAGUUUGAGAGAGAGGAAGAUACUAAAUGUCAUUUGGCGUUCUGACCUUGAAGUCACAUUGAGUCCAAUUCAAUCAGAAAAUUGCAAGUGAAAAACUGGAUUUUUAAUGAAACACCAGGACUAGAAAUACUGACUUUGGGGGUCAUCUGCCGAGAGAAAAUAGCUGAAAUAUUUGGAAUGGAUGAGAUCUCCAAAGCAACAAGUGAAGAAAAAGGAACAAAGAUCCAAAAAUAAAAAUUGUUGAACAUCCACGCUUAUAGGUAAAAGGAGGGGAGAAGUAAGCUUAAGAAAUUAAGAAAGUAGUUCUAGAGGGAAGACAAGAAAUGGGAUGGUAUCUUGGAAGUUCAGAGAAGACUGUGGGUACAAAGAGGUGGCAGCAGGAUUUAAAAGAACUUUAAAAAUUCAGUAAAAUUAGGACUGAAUGACCUCACUGAUGUCGUUGACUACAGGAGGUGAGAGUACCAGAUUCAGAGCACUCAUUUGACAAGUUUAGGAGCAGAGCGAGCAAGGGAGAGGUUAAAGGGAAUGGUAGAGUUGAAUACGGUCUUUUAUUCCAACAUACUUACAGUCUGAUUAUAUAGAAAGCCAAGAGGAAGAACUAUAUAAAGACAGGAAAAUUGAAGAUGCUAAAGAAAGAAGAUAUUUGAGAAACAAAGAGGCACGCGGAUUAAUUCUUGGGCAUCUAGAAAGGGGAACUUUUUUCCUCUGAAAUAGGAAAAGAAAAGAAAAUGCAUAAAAGAUAGACCUGCACUGAGGAAGGCCAACAUACAUACAGACAGAGGCUAGAUCUAAUGAUCAGUUGAAUGUAAUACUUUUAAAAACCCACCAUUUCACCCAUCAGACUGGCAUAAUUAAAAGACUCAAUAAUAUCUGAUGUUGGCAAGCAUGUAGGGGAAUCACAUGCUCUCAUGCACAGCUGGAAAGUAAACUGCAACAGUCUUUGUGGAGCGUAAUUUGGCAAUGUUUAUUAAAACUGCACAUGGCCGGGUGCCGUGGCUCACGCCUGUAAUCUGAACACUUUAGGAAGCCAAGGCGGGCAGAUCAUGAGGUCAAGAGA